This 463-nucleotide ribosomal RNA is filed under the name uncultured bacterium. Its description in RNAcentral is "partial 16S ribosomal RNA". It matches the Rfam family "Bacterial small subunit ribosomal RNA", at positions 30 to 507 of the family's 1533-position model. The record is from RNAcentral.
CGACCGCUGGCGGCGUGCUUAACACAUGCACGUCGAACGGAAAGGCCCCUUUGGGGGUACUCGAGUGGCGAACGGGUGAGUAACACGUGAGUAACCUGCCCUUGACUUCGGGAUAACUUCAGGAAACUGGGGCUAAUACCGGAUAGGAAUCCUUGCUGCAUGGUGGGGGUUGGAAAGCUUCGGCGGUUUUGGAUGGACUCGCGGCUUAUCAGCUUGUUGGUGGGGUAGUGGCUUACCAAGGCUUUGACGGGUAGCCGGCCUGAGAGGGCGACCGGCCACAUUGGGACUGAGAUACGGCCCAGACUCCUACGGGAGGCAGCAGUGGGGAAUAUUGCACAAUGGGCGGAAGCCUGAUGCAGCAACGCCGCGGGCGGGAUGACGGCCUUCGGGUUGUAAACCGCUUUCAGCAGGGGCGAAGCUUGUGGUGACGGUACCUGCAGAAGAAGCACCGGCUAACUACGUG